CCGAGUUUACCAACUCCCAAACCCCUGUGAACAUACCUGAACGUUGCCUCGGCGGGACCGCCCCGGCGCCCACGGCGGCCCGGAACCAGGCGCCCGCCGGAGGACCCAAACUCUUUGGCUUACGGUGGCAUAUUCUGAGUCUCGAAGAAAAUGAAUCA
RNAcentral lists this unclassified non-coding RNA (158 nucleotides) under uncultured Tolypocladium. RNAcentral describes it as "sequence contains ITS1". Lineage: Eukaryota; Fungi; Ascomycota; Sordariomycetes; Hypocreales; Clavicipitaceae. The record is from RNAcentral.